RNAcentral lists this unclassified non-coding RNA (3637 nucleotides) under Drosophila virilis. Its description in RNAcentral is "GJ18373". The stretch from base 1487 to 1600 matches the Rfam family "Potassium channel RNA editing signal". The record is from RNAcentral. Lineage: Eukaryota; Metazoa; Arthropoda; Insecta; Diptera; Drosophilidae.
AGUAAAUUGAGUGGCUAAUUGAAAUUAACUUGGGCAUGCGGCUGCUGUUACCACAACUGUUGCAUGCAACAUGGAUGGCGAAAAUCGGAUUAUAUUAAAUGUGGGCGGCAUUAGAUAUGAAACCUAUAAGGCAACGCUCAAGAAAAUACCCGCAACGCGCCUCUCACGUCUGACCGAAGCCUUGGCCAAUUAUGAUCCGGUGCUCAACGAGUAUUUCUUCGAUCGCCAUCCCGGAGUCUUUACGCAAAUACUCAAUUAUUACAGAACUGGUAAGCUGCAUUAUCCGACAGACGUCUGUGGCCCACUGUUUGAGGAGGAGCUAGAGUUUUGGGGACUCGAUUCGAAUCAGGUAGAACCAUGCUGCUGGUCAACUUAUAGCAUACAUCGCGAUACGCAAAACACCUUAGCUAUAUUAGAUAAACUAGAUAUUGAAAAUGAGAAACCCACGGAGGAGCAAAUAGCACGUCUGUUUGGCUUCGAGGAGGCUUUAAGCAACGGCGAGCUUAACUGUUGGCAACGUCUAAAGCCCAAAAUUUGGGCCAUGUUCGAUGAGCCGUCGAGCUCAACGGGCGCCAAGUUUGUUGCUGGCAUGUCGGUAUUCUUUAUAUUUGUUUCUGUGAUAUCAUUCUGCCUGAAAACCCAUCCCGGUUUUCGCGUGGACCUGCCCACCAGCUACAGCGCCGGCCUGCCUGCGUCUGGCCAUGAUCCGCUGGCGCCGCCCAUACCUCAGCAGCCGGUGCAACAGUCCCAGUCGCAGCCGCAUCAUCAUUCGCAGCAGCAGCAGCAGUAUCAAUACCAUCAACAUAGCAUAACGCCACCUAGUGGCAGCAUUGGUCCCACAUUUCGUGUCACGAACUACACGAGCUACAGCAGCGGCAACUUGAGCGCUGCACAGGCCACGCCCAUUGCCACCAUAAAGGGCCAACAGCAACGGCAGCGUCUGAAACGUGACCUAAACACGAGCAGCCUGAACGAGUUCCUUGAGGAUAAGCUACUCGGUCAGAAUGGACGCAGACAGCACGGCUGGAUCGAGACCUACGGCCAGCCGCACAAGGCCUUCUUCUAUGUGGAGCUCGUAUGCAAUGUUUGGUUCUUCAUCGAGGUUGUCAUCAGGCUAAUUGUUUCACCCAAUCUGUGGCAGUUCAUUAAGUCUCCCGUUAACAUUAUCGACUUUACGGCCACGUUGAGCUUCUAUACGGAUGUCAUGCAGCGCAUGGGCGAAUAUACGGGCCUGCUGGAGGCAUUUUCCAUAGUGCGCAUAAUGCGUCUCUUUAAGCUGACACGUCACUCGCCAGGACUACGCAUCCUUAUACACACGUUCAAGGCUUCGGCCAAGGAAUUGACUCUGCUCGUGUUCUUCCUCGUUCUCGGCAUCGUCUUCUUUGCCAGUUUGGCCUAUUAUGCGGAAAAAUUACAGGACAAUCCAGACAACCAAUUCAAGAGCAUACCAUUGGGCUUAUGGUGGGCCAUUGUUACCAUGACCACAGUGGGCUAUGGCGACGUGGCGCCCAAAACGUAUCCGGGCAUGUUUGUGGGCGCACUGUGCGCACUGGCUGGUGUCCUGACCAUAGCACUACCCGUACCUGUUAUCGUUAGCAAUUUCUCCAUGUUCUAUUCGCACACCCAGGCCCGCUCCAAGUUGCCCAAGAAACGCCGCCGAGUGCUGCCCGUGGAGCAGCCGCGUCGCAAACGGGAGCCGCCGGCACCGCAUCGAGGCCGGACCAAUGCCAUUAAACAGACAACGCCGACGGUGCCGGGCGUAGUAGGCGGCCAUACAACUAUACAGGCGCCUACGCCCAUGUUCAAGGAUGCAUUUGGCAGCGCCAAAAUUGCGGACUACUUAAGCGUGCCGGCAGUUCAGAGUCUACAGCCGAGAGCGGCAACCACUGGACAUGAUUUUAUGCUGCCUCUACAGCCGAAACUUGUCGCGCCUCUGGAACGCAAAGAACAGCAUCCUUUGCAGCUGACCGCUCACAACUUGGCCUCGGAUACGCAUCAACUGUACGCCGGCCAUGCCCAUGGGCCCAAAGCAGGCACCGUACUAAAUGUGCCGCCCACCAUCAGCAUGACGCACACACAAAUGCCGCCGGGCAUGGCCAGCAUGGGGCAGCGCACACCGAAUCUCAGCUACCGGGCAACACAUACGCACACGCAUGCGCCCAUCCAGCAGCCCAUACCACAACACUAUCAGCACCUGGGCUCAUCAAGGUCAAGCGGUCUGGAGUCGACCAACUGCAAUAUCCAAAUCUCAGUAGCUGGUGCCGCUGGUGCUGCUUGUACAGAGGAACUGAAGGCGCCCAAAGUUACGCUUCUUGAUGAUCUGAGCGAUGAGGUUAACUCCUCAACGGAUGACUGCGCUGAUUGCUGCCUGGUGGAUGACAGUGAUACGUACGAGGCCAGCAAUAACAAUGGCUCCUGUGCGAAUCAGGAAGUCGAGCAGGAAAGCGCCACUGCCGAGGAUAGCGGUGACAGUUUGGGUGGCAUUUACAUUGGUCCCACCCAUUGAUUUUUGGCCAUUAAAUGGGAAUUUCCAUGCUAGGAAUUUAAUGACACAUAAAGGAAUACAAAAUAGAUUGCAUAUUGCAUUAAAAAGAAAAAACAUUUUUAUUUUGGAUUUUUGUUGACUAUGGGCAGAGCUGCACUAUAUUUGGGUAAACAACAGUUUCGAAGGGUCUAACUACAAAAUGCUUUUUCUCAGUGUAAUUUAUCAGACUACCACAUGCCUGAUUCUCUGGACCAGUCUGCGCAUUCUCACCACACAAUGCCGUGAGUGCCAAGUCAAAUGAAUUUCAUUGGAGAAUCUGAGCACAGAAAGCUCUGCACUGCUUAUAGAACAUAUAGUGCCGGGCCAGGCGAAGCAUCUGCAGCAUUCGAAUUGGAACCUACAUCAACAGCAAAGCGCUUGAAAUUCAAUUCGAAGGCCUUAAACAAUUUGAAGUUAUUAAAAGCAACGCGAAAAGUUUAAUUGGAACUGUUUGUGGCACUGGGGAGCAUAGAGCCACCAAAUAGAUGUGGCAUAGAGAGUGCCCACUACUUGCUGUUGCUAGCAGAUCCGUAGAUGUUUCACUGCGGACUGGCGCUAAGUGUGCGCAAUUGAAGGCAAUUGAGCAAUUUUGUAUGCUCAGAGCGUCAGAAGACGCAUUUGCAUAAAUACAUUUAUUUAAUAUUUAAAUUAGUUUCGUGGCAUUUCAGCCAUGCACUUAUGUAUACAACACCCCCCCACACUCGCCCCCAUGUGCCUGGUCUGCAGCAAUUCAUCCUGCGCCCGCACAUUUUUACUGAUAAUCCCCAUUGACGCCUAAGUAAUUGUCCUUGACGUGAGGCAAAUGCAGCCAUUCAGACAGAGCCAAGUGAAGUAGUAGCUACCGACUGCCAGUUUGGGUUGGCUUAAAGACAAUGAGGCCGGCAUCUGGAUUGGUCCUAAGUAAACCUAAUAUGAACAUCAAAUGCAAAUUGACAAGUUUGUUGGUUCAUUGUCGCGGCGGCUCCUGGCACAGGCAACGAGGCAUCCAUUUUAUUCGGCGCUCUCCUGGGUUGAAGGAUUCUAGGACUCCAAACGAUUUUAAGGACAUUUACGAAUCUAACGAGUCUAUUCCUUCCAGGAUCGGACGUAUUUUAAGCUAGAUAUAGCCAUUUU